CCUACGGGAGGCAGCAGUGGGGAAUAUUGCACAAUGGGGGAAACCCUGAUGCAGCGACGCCGCGUGAGUGAAGAAGUAAUUCGUUAUGUAAAGCUCUAUCAGCAGGGAAGAAAAUGACGGUACUUGAGUACGAAGAAGCGGCUAAUUACGACCCAGCAGCCGCGGUAAUACGUCGGGGGCAAGCGUUAUCCGGCGUUACUGGGUGAAAAGGGAGCGUAGACGGCAGGGCAAGUCUGAGGUGAAAGGCGGGGGCUCAACCCCCGGACGGCUUGGGAAACGGUACGGUGGGGGGGCAGGAGGGGGAAGGGGAAGUCCGGGUGAGGCGGGGAAAUGCG
Molecule: ribosomal RNA, 335 nt
Filed under: uncultured bacterium
Lineage: Bacteria
Description: partial 16S ribosomal RNA
Rfam family: Bacterial small subunit ribosomal RNA
Source: RNAcentral